This 1002-nucleotide ribosomal RNA is filed under the name uncultured bacterium. RNAcentral describes it as "bacterial SSU rRNA". It matches the Rfam family "Bacterial small subunit ribosomal RNA", at positions 356 to 1376 of the family's 1533-position model. The record is from RNAcentral.
GGGGAAUAUUGCACAAUGGGGGAAACCCUGAUGCAGCAACGCCGCGUGAGUGAAGAAGUAUUUCGGUAUGUAAAGCUCUAUCAGCAGGGAAGAAAAUGACGGUACCUGACUAAGAAGCACCGGCUAAAUACGUGCCAGCAGCCGCGGUAAUACGUAGGAUGCAAGCGUUAUCCGGAUUUACUGGGUGUAAAGGGAGCGCAGGCGGGACUGCAAGUUGGAUGUGAAAUACCGUGGCUUAACCACGGAACUGCAUCCAAAACUGUAGUUCUUGAGUGAAGUAGAGGCAAGCGGAAUUCCGAGUGUAGCGGUGAAAUGCGUAGAUAUUCGGAGGAACACCAGUGGCGAAGGCGGCUUGCUGGGCUUUAACUGACGCUGAGGCUCGAAAGUGUGGGGAGCAAACAGGAUUAGAUACCCUGGUAGUCCAUGCCGUAAACGAUGAUUACUAGGUGUUGGAGGAUUGACCCCUUCAGUGCCGCAGUUAACACAAUAAGUAAUCCACCUGGGGAGUACGACCGCAAGGUUGAAACUCAAAGGAAUUGACGGGGGCCCGCACAAGCAGUGGAGUAUGUGGUUUAAUUCGAAGCAACGCGAAGAACCUUACCAGGUCUUGACAUCCGAUGCAUAGUGCAGAGAUGCAUGAAGUCCUUCGGGACAUCGAGACAGGUGGUGCAUGGUUGUCGUCAGCUCGUGUCGUGAGAUGUUGGGUUAAGUCCCGCAACGAGCGCAACCCCUAUCUUCAGUAGCCAGCAGGUUAAGCUGGGCACUCUGGAGAGACUGCCAGGGAUAACCUGGAGGAAGGUGGGGAUGACGUCAAAUCAUCAUGCCCCUUAUGACCAGGGCUACACACGUGCUACAAUGGCGUAAACAAAGAGAAGCGAACUCGCGAGGGUAAGCAAAUCUCAAAAAUAACGUCUCAGUUCGGAUUGUAGUCUGCAACUCGACUACAUGAAGCUGGAAUCGCUAGUAAUCGCAGAUCAGAAUGCUGCGGUGAAUACGUUCCCG